UAAGUUAGAAAGGGCGCACGGUGGAUGCCUUGACACUAGGAGUCGAUGAAGGACGGGACUAACGCCGAUAUGCUUCGGGGAGCUGUAAGUAAGCUUUGAUCCGAAGAUUUCCGAAUGGGGAAACCCACCAUACGUAAUGGUAUGGUAUCCUUAUCUGAAUACAUAGGGUAAGGAAGACAGACCCAGGGAACUGAAACAUCUAAGUACCUGGAGGAAGAGAAAGCAGAUGCGAUUUCCUGAGUAGCGGCGAGCGAAACGGAACAUAGCCCAAACCAAGAGGCUUGCCUCUUGGGGUUGUAGGACAUUCUAUACGGAGUUACAAAGGAACGAGGUAGACGAAGCGACCUGGAAAGGUCCGCCGUAGAGGGUAACAACCCCGUAGUCGAAACUUCGUUCUCUCUUGAAUGUAUCCUGAGUACGGCGGAACACGUGAAAUUCCGUCGGAAUCUGGGAGGACCAUCUCCCAAGGCUAAAUACUCCCUAGUGAUCGAUAGUGAACCAGUACCGUGAGGGAAAGGUGAAAAGCACCCCGGAAGGGGAGUGAAAGAGAUCCUGAAACCGUGUGCCUACAAAUAGUCAGAGCCCGUUAACGGGUGAUGGCGUGCCUUUUGUAGAAUGAACCGGCGAGUUACGAUCCCGUGCGAGGUUAAGCUGAAGAGGCGGAGCCGCAGCGAAAGCGAGUCUGAAUAGGGCGUUUAGUACGUGGUCGUAGACCCGAAACCAGGUGAUCUACCCAUGUCCAGGGUGAAGUUCAGGUAACACUGAAUGGAGGCCCGAACCACGCACGUUGAAAAGUGCGGGGAUGAGGUGUGGGUAGCGGAGAAAUUCCAAUCGAACCUGGAGAUAGCUGGUUCUCCCGAAAUAGCUUUAGGGCUAGCCUUAAGUGUAAGAGUCUUGGAGGUAGAGCACUGAUUGGACUAGGGGUCCUCAUCGGAUUACCGAAUUCAGUCUAACUCCGAAUGCCAAUGACUUAUCCUUAGGAGUCAGACUGCGAGUGAUAAGAUCCGUAGUCAAAAGGGUAAACAGCCCAGACCGCCAGCUAAGGUCCCAAAGUGUGUAUUAAGUGGAGAAGGAUGUGGAGUUGCUUAGACACUAGGAUGUUGGCUUAGAAGCAGCCACCAUUUAAAGAGUGCGUAAUAGCUCACUAGUCGAGUGACUCUGCGCCGAAAAUGUACCGGGGCUAAAUACACCACCGAAGCUGCGGAUUGAUACCAAUGGUAUCAGUGUAGGGGAGCGUUCUAAGGACAGUGAAGUCAGACCGGAAGGACUGGUGGAGUGCUUAGAAGUGAGAAUGCCGGUAUGAGUAGCGAAAGACGGGUGAGAAUCCCGUCCACCGAAUGCCUAAGGUUUCCUGAGGAAGGCUCGUCCGCUCAGGGUUAGUCAGGACCUAAGCCGAGGCCGACAGGCGUAGGCGAUGGACAACAGGUUUGAUAUUCCUGUACCACCUCUUUAUCGUUUGAGCAAUGGAGGGACGCAGAAGGAUAGAAGAAGCGUGCGAUUGGUUGUGCACGUCCAAGCAGUUAGGCUGAUAAGUAGGCAAAUCCGCUUAUCGUGAAGGCUGAGCUGUGAUGGGGAAGCUCCUUAUGGAGCGAAGUCUUUGAUUCCCCGCUGCCAAGAAAAGCUUCUAGCGAGAUAAAAGGUGCCUGUACCGCAAACCGACACAGGUAGGCGAGGAGAGAAUCCUAAGGUGUGCGAGAGAACUCUGGUUAAGGAACUCGGCAAAAUGACCCCGUAACUUCGGGAGAAGGGGUGCUUUCUUAACGGAAAGCCGCAGUGAAUAGGCCCAAGCGACUGUUUAGCAAAAACACAGCUCUCUGCGAAGCCGUAAGGCGAAGUAUAGGGGGUGACACCUGCCCGGUGCUGGAAGGUUAAGGAGAGGGGUUAGCGUAAGCGAGGCUCUGAACUGAAGCCCCAGUAAACGGCGGCCGUAACUUUAACGGUCCUAAGGUAGCGAAAUUCCUUGUCGGGUAAGUUCCGACCCGCACGAAAGGUGUAACGAUUUGGGCACUGUCUCAACCAGAGACUCGGUGAAAUUAUAGUACCCGUGAAGAUGCAGGUUACCCGCGACAGGACGGAAAGACCCCGUGGAGCUUUACUGUAGCCUGAUAUUGAAUUUUGGUACAGUUUGUACAGGAUAGGCGGGAGCCUUUGAAACCGGAGCGCUAGCUUCGGUGGAGGCGCU
This 2182-nucleotide ribosomal RNA is filed under the name Bacillus cereus ATCC 4342. RNAcentral describes it as "bacterial LSU rRNA". It matches the Rfam family "Bacterial large subunit ribosomal RNA", at positions 4 to 2190 of the family's 2925-position model. The record is from RNAcentral. Lineage: Bacteria; Bacillati; Bacillota; Bacilli; Caryophanales; Bacillaceae.